UGGGGAAUCUUGCACAAUGGGGGCAACCCUGAUGCACCGACGCCGCGUGAGCGAUGAAGGUUUUCGAAUCGUAAAGCUCUGUCCUAUGGGAAGAUAAUGACGGUACCAUAGGAGGAAGCCCCGGCUAACUACGUGCCAGCAGCCGCGGUAAUACGUAGGGGGCGAGCGUUGUCCGGAAUUACUGGGCGUAAAGGGUUCGCAGGCGGCCUGGCAAGUCCGAUGUAAAAGGCGAAGGCUCAACCUUCGUAAGCAUCGGAAACUGUCAAGCUUGAGUGAAGGAGAGGCAAGUGGAAUUCCUAGUGUAGCGGUGGAAUGCGUAGAUAUUAGGAGGAAUACCGGUGGCGAAGGCGACUUACUGGGCUCAUUCUGACGCUGAGGAACGAAAGCGUGGGUAGCAAACAGG
RNAcentral lists this ribosomal RNA (403 nucleotides) under Verrucomicrobiota bacterium. RNAcentral describes it as "Verrucomicrobia bacterium partial 16S ribosomal RNA". It matches the Rfam family "Bacterial small subunit ribosomal RNA", at positions 355 to 776 of the family's 1533-position model. The record is from RNAcentral. Lineage: Bacteria; Pseudomonadati; Verrucomicrobiota.